Non-coding RNA from Lacinutrix sp. Hel_I_90, 65 nucleotides. The record is from Rfam. Lineage: Bacteria; Pseudomonadati; Bacteroidota; Flavobacteriia; Flavobacteriales; Flavobacteriaceae.
UAUAUUUGCCGCUUGAAAGAUAAGCUUUCAUAUACAUAACAAUCAUUUACAACAAUAUUAGAAUG